Molecule: long non-coding RNA, 1571 nt
Filed under: Homo sapiens (human)
Lineage: Eukaryota; Metazoa; Chordata; Mammalia; Primates; Hominidae
Description: HSALNT0372447
Source: RNAcentral
AGAGAGAGAACAAAGAGCAGGUGUGAUCGGAGCUCAGGAAAUCCUCCCUCUGCAAAUGGGGGAUCUCAGAAGUCUUAAUGAAGUAACUAUCCCUGAACACUGGGAUCAAUACUCAGCAUCCAGCUGUCAAAUCAACACCAAGCCGCCUCCUGGAGCAGAUUGUUAAGCUGAUGCGAGUCUGGGCUCUGCCUCACCACUUGUCUCAGAGAAUGUCCAGUGCUAGGAGACUCAUAAGUUGGAGAGAAACGGCCUGAUUUAUAGAAACUGAGCGAGACUCCGGACCACCUGAUGCAGAGAAACCUGUGACCUGAAAAAGUCUAUUUGUGUUUCCUCUAGGAAUCUCGGCCAAGAAGACAGGGACAAGCUCCCAACUCUGACUACCCCUUUUACAGGGAAAAAAAAAAAAUCCCGUGCCUUCUUUGCAGCAAGUGACAAAUCCUUGUCAUAUCGAGAUGGCUUUUCCUCCUCCUCUUCAAACAUCUUUUAGCAGCAACAGCAGCUCAAGUAACUGGAAUUAUUUCAGAGUUAAAAUGCAGGCUUUGUAGACCCUCUUAGACAGACAGAUUCAAUUUCAAAGGAAACUUCUUUGGCUGGGUACUCAGUGAGUGUUACACAGGGAUUUGGGGAGUUAAUAUUCACUGUUUCUGUUGUUGGAGAAAAGGAAAGCAGAGUUGCUCUUUCUCAUUACUCUCCCCAACGCACAUCUGUUUCCUCUCGUAUCUUGGAAUUAGGAAGAUGGAGGAGACUUAAGUGGUGACCCACCUAGCCUCCUGAUGCAUGCUGGGCUCACUUUAAAACUCCCAAAACAGAUGGCAGUUGAUCACGGUUUUAAAGAUCCCAGCAUAGACUUUCUGCAGCCUCCCUUGUUAGCCACUAUCAGCGCUUAACAUUCUGUCAUCUGAAUAACUCCUUAAAAAUGAUAGCAAUGGUAGUAGAAAUUUAAAAGGAACCUCCCAAAAAACAUGCAAAAGCUUACCACCCCAGUAAAUCACCCGCAACAAUGUCGCAACAGUUUAAAUUUACUGCAGAGAGAGCUGAAGUUUAGGAGACACAGCUUUAUAAUAUUUUUGAGAGAUAGUUGAGUGCAAAUGAGUCCUGUUCCUCUUGCAUCAGGGCCUGCUCCACUGAGUCAUCCUGCCUUCAGAAGCUUCCAGCUAAGUGGCAGGCCCCGGCCAUAGGCUCCCUGUGUCCCCAGCCUCCAGAGAACACACAAUGUUCUCAUCGCCCUUAGCUCCAUUCCAGAAGGGGCCUGCAGUUCUGCAGCUUAUCAGGGGUCUACUGGGAAGUGAGAUGUCACUGUCCCUUUCUGGCCCUGCAUUGUCUGUGAGUGGCUCUCCUGGAUUAAGAGUUGGCAAAGUAUGGCCAGUGGCCAGGACUGGCCUGCUGCCUGUUUUUGUUUAACCCGUGAGCUAAGAAUAGUUUUUACCUAUUUUAAGUAGUUGAAAAAAAAAUCAAGAGAAGAAUACUAUUUCGUGAUAUGUGAAAAAUCACAUGAAAUUCAAAUGUAAGUGUCCAUAAAUAAAGUCUUACUGGAAGACAGCCUUGCUCAUUUAUUUCUGUCUCAUUCGCUA